GAUGAACGCUGGCGGCGUGCCUAAUACAUGCAAGUCGAGCGAACAGACGAGGAGCUUGCUCCUCGGACGUUAGCGGCGGACGGGUGAGUAACACGUGGAUAACCUACCUAUAAGACUGGGAUAACUUCGGGAAACCGGAGCUAAUACCGGAUAAUAUAUUGAACCGCAUGGUUCAAUAGUGAAAGACGGUUUUGCGGUCACUAAUAGAUGGCUCCGCGCCGCAUUGGCUAGGUGGUAAGGUAACGGCUUACCAAGGAAACGAUGCGGAGCCGACCUGAAAGGGUGGUCGGCCGCCCUGGAACUUGGCCACGGUCCCUGCUCCUACGGCAGGCAGCAGUAUCGUAUCUUCCGCAGUGGGCGGAAGCCUGACGGAGUGACGCCGCGUGAGUGAUGAAGGUCCUCGGUUCGUAAAACUCUCUUAUUAGUGAAGAACAAAUUUGUAAGUAACUAUGCACGUCUUGACGGUACCUAAUCAGAAAGCCCCGGCUAACUACGUG
Molecule: ribosomal RNA, 497 nt
Filed under: uncultured bacterium
Lineage: Bacteria
Description: partial 16S ribosomal RNA
Rfam family: Bacterial small subunit ribosomal RNA
Source: RNAcentral